This 82-nucleotide small nucleolar RNA is filed under the name Dichanthelium oligosanthes. The record is from RNAcentral. Lineage: Eukaryota; Viridiplantae; Streptophyta; Magnoliopsida; Poales; Poaceae.
GGGAGAAGUGAUGAUAUCAUAUCCAAAUAAUAUAUCUGCAUUUAUUAUGAUGAUCACAUCAUGCACUACCAUCUGAUCUCUC